GUGGCGGUAGGGUAGCCUAGUGGUUAGAGUGGAGUGGCGGUAGGGUAGCCUAGUGGUUAGAGUGGAGUGGCGGCAGGGUAGCCUAGUGGUUAGAGUGGAGUGGUGGCAGGGUAGCCUAGUGGUUAGAGUGGAGUGGCGGCAGGGUAGCCUAGUGGUUAGAGUGUAGAGGUGGCAGGGUAGCCUAGUGGUUAGAGUGGAGAGGUGGCAGGGUAGCCUAGUGGUUAGAGUGGAGAGGUGGCAGGGUAGCCUAGUGGUUAGAGUGUAGAGGUGGCAGGGUAGCCUAGUGGUUAGAGUGUAGAGGUGGCAGGGUAGCCUAGUGGUUAGAGUGGAGAGGUGGCAGGGUAGCCUAGUGGUUAGAGUGGAGAGGUGGCAGGGUAGCCUAGUGGUUAGAGUGUAGAGGUGGCAGGGUAGCCUAGUGGUUAGAGUGUAGAGGUGGCAGGGUAGCCUAGUGGUUAGAGUGUAGAGGUGGCAGGGUAGCCUAGUGGUUAGAGUGGAGGGGUGGCAGGGUAGCCUAGUGGUUAGAGUGGAGAGGUGGCAGGGUAGCC
Oncorhynchus keta (chum salmon) is the source of this 545-nucleotide long non-coding RNA. RefSeq lists it as uncharacterized. NCBI's taxonomy places the organism in Eukaryota, Metazoa, Chordata, Actinopteri, Salmoniformes, Salmonidae. The transcript is spliced from 3 exons. The record is from RefSeq and is a predicted model, not a curated record.